GGGGACGUUCUGGAUUCGACAGGGGUAGGUCGAGCUUAAGUUGCGAGUCGAGCUGGGUGUCCUCGUAUAAAACGCCCAUCGCCUAUAGUUGGCAAAGAAGAUAACAACUUCGCUUUAGCAGCGGCGUAAAAACCCUGCUAGCGGUUCCUCCCUUCAUCGCCCAUGUGAAGGAUCAGGGACUCACUUAUAGUGGGAUACGCCAUGAAUCCACCACCUGAGGACGAUUGGAAGAGAUUAAUCAGGUUAGCCUCAUAGAAGCCUGUUAGUUGGCUGACGUGAUGGCGAAUUUCUAAUAAGCUAACUACGCUCGUAGACGCUUAAGUAUCGUUAUCUCUGGACGUGGGUUCGAUUCCCACCGUCUCCACCA
Molecule: transfer-messenger RNA, 367 nt
Filed under: Salipaludibacillus agaradhaerens
Lineage: Bacteria; Bacillati; Bacillota; Bacilli; Caryophanales; Bacillaceae
Also listed under: 1 other name
Description: Standard tmRNA
Rfam family: transfer-messenger RNA
About the family: Bacterial tmRNA, also known as 10Sa RNA or SsrA, is named for its dual tRNA and mRNA-like properties. Its role is to liberate the mRNA from a stalled ribosome.
Source: RNAcentral